AAUGGUGUACAGGAAAAUGACCUAUGAAUUGACAGACAGUGUGGCCAAGAAUGUCUGUCAUUUCCGUAGGCCAAUAUUCUGUAUGUCUCCGCUACCUUGAA
This 101-nucleotide microRNA precursor is filed under the name Nannospalax galili (Upper Galilee mountains blind mole rat). RNAcentral's name for it is "microRNA 215 (ENSNGAG00000004951.1)". The stretch from base 9 to 82 matches the Rfam family "mir-192/215 microRNA precursor family". Rfam says of the family: This family represents the human microRNA (miRNA) precursors mir-192 and mir-215. Animal miRNAs are transcribed as ~70nt precursors and subsequently processed by the Dicer enzyme to give a ~22nt product. In this case the mature sequence comes from the 5' arm of the precursor. The record is from RNAcentral. Lineage: Eukaryota; Metazoa; Chordata; Mammalia; Rodentia; Spalacidae.